This is a non-coding RNA of Arachis ipaensis, 280 nucleotides long. The record is from RefSeq and is a predicted model, not a curated record. Lineage: Eukaryota; Viridiplantae; Streptophyta; Magnoliopsida; Fabales; Fabaceae.
UGGUUGAAUCUUUAUGCAACAAGAUCCAAAAUGAGAUGGGGCUGGUGAUGAUUUGUUUAAAGAGCUAUGGAGGCUGUGUGUAGGGCCAUUAAUGGAUGUUCCUUGUGUUCAAGACAGAGUUUUCUAUUUCCCUCAGGGUCACAUUGAAUUGUUGCCAGAACCUACAGAACAAGAUUUGAGGCAGAUGAAGAACCAGAAAUCUCCCAAAUACGAUCUUCCGUCGAAGAUCUUAUGUCGUGUUAUCGAUGUUAAGUGUCUGGUAAUGUUUAUCUUUUUUUGG